This 421-nucleotide unclassified non-coding RNA is filed under the name Bombus terrestris (buff-tailed bumblebee). Its description in RNAcentral is "misc RNA ENSBTSG00005027313.1". Lineage: Eukaryota; Metazoa; Arthropoda; Insecta; Hymenoptera; Apidae. The record is from RNAcentral.
AAAAUAAAUUUUAAAAUGAUAUUAUUUUUUGCUUUUUAAAUAAUACUGUAUUAGUCAUUUAAUUAACUUACAGUUAAUAUUCCUUUAAAUCGAAAACAUUUACCGCAAAAUUCACAUGUAAAUGGCAUUGCACCAGUAUGUAUUCUGUGAUGUUCCCUUAAGGUACCUUUUUCUCUAAAAGUUCUUCCACAUACAGCACAUUGAUGUGGUUUAGCACCUGUAUGAACUGUCUCAUGUUUUUUCAACUGUAGUGGUGUUUUGAAACUGCAAAUAACAUUAAAUAUGUAAACAUAGUUACAAUAUACUCCUGGUUAUUCUGUUCCGUUCAAUCGGCCACAACUUUAUUGAGAUGAAAACAAUUAGCUACCAUUCUUUUAUAUUCUUAAUUCAUAAUGAGAUAUUCCAGUAAGUUCAGUUAAAG